UCCCCCACCCCCCUCAAAAAAUAAAAAACGCAUUCCCUCUUCUUCUCGGCAGAACCCGUAAACAUUCAUAUCCUUCUCCGCAUAAACAAACGAUAACUCCCAAUAGAACCAAUUUGUUGUCUCGUUAUAGUUUAUUUUUAAUUAAAUUAAACAAAAGAAACUUAUUGAUUUGUAAUAAUGAUGGCGGAGGAGCGGUGAGAGGUGCAGAUCUGAAUUGGACUUGAGUUGCGGCGGUGGAGGUUCUGGCUGUUCCAUUCCAUCCAAAGUUGCAUAAAUCACUCUGAACUGAACGAGGGGUACUCCUCUUCAAAAACUCCGUGGGAGUAAAAUCAAUCUCUCUUCUAUCAAACAUGUGGAUUUUGGUGUGGGGUUGAAUUCCGCGGAUUCUCCUUUGGUUCUAUUCAAUUGGCUGGUUGAGCUUGGUAAUAUUGAAUCAUUGACACUCUCUUACAGCACUCUUCAGGUUCUCUCCUCAAUACCUGAUUUAUUGAAGAUUGAGUUCCCUUCUUUGCGUAAUUUGAAGUCACUGAAAGUAAAAUCAUUCGUACCUUUGUGUUCUAUACCUGUGUUCCGUAUCUCAGCCGACUUUUUGCUUCAAAACUCACCGUCCGCAGAGGUUAGCCACAUACCAUAUGUUGAUUAAGGGAAGUAAAUACAAGCACACACUCUUGAUGGAUUACUUUUUCAGUUGAAACCAGAGCACAUGAGAGCAGAAGUUAUAGAUGUUGGGUUUUGCAGAAAAGGAAUGGUGGAGGGUACGAGAGCUAUUGGAAUCUGUGAUGCAGAAGUUUUGCCAUGGAAUUGGAAUCAAGAAAGAGUCCUCGAAGCCUGGAUGCUCUAUAACAAUAACAUUUUUCCAAGGGAAAUCUUUCUAAUAGCUAGAUAGCAUGUCUUAGAUUUAUUUAUUUUCUAUAACUUUACUAUACUAUCGUAACUAAUUUGUGUCAUGUAUUCUACUUUUAGGGGAUUUAUAUAUUUGAAUAUUUUUCAGCAAUAUGUUUGAUGCUGCUUUAUUUAAUUUCAAGGGCAUGGUGUGAUUUGGAUUAGAGUCUCCAACUAUUUGGUUGCAGAACUGUGGGCUAUAUGCCAUAUCAAUCUAGGGGUUUAAUUAUCUUAACUCUUUUUUUCUUCUUGAGAUUGUUGUCAAUUGAACGAGAACAAAUCAUUCGUU
RNAcentral lists this long non-coding RNA (1171 nucleotides) under Medicago truncatula (barrel medic). RNAcentral's name for it is "lncRNA gene1934". Lineage: Eukaryota; Viridiplantae; Streptophyta; Magnoliopsida; Fabales; Fabaceae. The record is from RNAcentral.